GGUGGGUAUGCUCAGUGGUAGAGUGCAUGCUUAGCAUGCAUGAGGUCCUGGGUUCAAUCCCCAGAACCUCCU
Transfer RNA from Camelus ferus (Wild Bactrian camel), 72 nucleotides. It matches the Rfam family "tRNA". Rfam says of the family: Transfer RNA (tRNA) molecules are approximately 80 nucleotides in length. Their secondary structure includes four short double-helical elements and three loops (D, anti-codon, and T loops). The record is from Rfam. Lineage: Eukaryota; Metazoa; Chordata; Mammalia; Artiodactyla; Camelidae.